UACGGAGGGUGCAAGCGUUAUCCGGAUUCACUGGGUUUAAAGGGUGCGUAGGUGGGAUGGUAAGUCAGUGGUGAAAUCUCGAAGCUUAACUUGGAAACUGCCGUUGAUACUAUCAUUCUUGAAUCUCGUGGAGGUAAGCGGAAUAUGUCAUGUAGCGGUGAAAUGCUUAGAUAUGACAUAGAACACCGAUAGCGAAGGCAGCUUGCUACACGAGUAUUGACACUGAGGCACGAAAGCGUGGGGAUCAAACAGG
This 253-nucleotide ribosomal RNA is filed under the name uncultured bacterium. RNAcentral's name for it is "partial 16S ribosomal RNA". It matches the Rfam family "Bacterial small subunit ribosomal RNA", at positions 524 to 776 of the family's 1533-position model. The record is from RNAcentral.